This 483-nucleotide ribosomal RNA is filed under the name uncultured bacterium. RNAcentral's name for it is "SSU rRNA". It matches the Rfam family "Bacterial small subunit ribosomal RNA", at positions 26 to 524 of the family's 1533-position model. The record is from RNAcentral.
AGGACGAACGCUGGCGGCGUGCCUAACACAUGCAAGUCGAACGAGGUCCAUCUGGUAGCAAUACCAGUGAAGAUCAAGUGGCGAACGGGUGAGUAGCACGUGAGCAACCUGCCCCGAAGACCGGGACAACACCGGGAAACCGGUGCUAAUACCGGAUACCCCCACCGAGUCGCAUGGCUUGGUGAGGAAAUGGAUUCCGCUUCGGGAGGGCUCGCGGCCUAUCAGCUUGUGGUGAGGUAACGGCUCACCAAGGCUUCGACGGGUAGCUGGUCUGAGAGGACGAUCAGCCACACUGGGACUGAGACACGGCCCAGACUCCUACGGGAGGCAGCAGUGGGAAUCUUGCACAAUGGGCGAAAGCCUGAUGCAGCAACGCCGCGUGAGGGACGAAGGCUUUCUGAGUUGUAAACCUCUUUCAGCAGGGACGAUUGUGACGGUACCUGCAGAAGAGCCCGGCAACUACGCGCCAGCAGCCGCGGUAAU